UACGAAGGGGGGCUAGCGUUGCUCGGAAUUACUGGGCGUAAAGGGCGCGUAGGCGGAUAGUUUAGUCAGAGGUGAAAAGCCCAGGGCUCAACCUUGGAACUGCCUUUGAUACUGGCUAUCUUGAGUUCGGGAGAGGUGAGUGGAAUGCCGAGUGUAGAGGUGAAAUGCGUAGAUAUCUGGAGGAACACCGGUGGCGAAGGCGGCAUUCUGGACCUAACUGACACUGAGG
Molecule: ribosomal RNA, 229 nt
Filed under: uncultured bacterium
Lineage: Bacteria
Description: partial 16S ribosomal RNA
Rfam family: Bacterial small subunit ribosomal RNA
Source: RNAcentral